AACUUUCGACAAUGGAUCUCUUGGUUCUGGCAUCGAUGAAGAACGCAGCGAAAUGAGAUAAGUAAUGUGAAUUGCAGAAUUCAGUGAAUCAUCGAAUCUUUGAACGCACUUUGCGCCCGCCAGUAUUCUGGCGGGCAUGCGUGUCCGAGCGUCAGUUGAACCCUCGAACCCCUCCGGGGGGCCGGCUUUGGGGACCGGCACUUAACCGGCCGGCCCCGAAAUACAGUGGCCGCCCCGCCGCAGCCUCUCAUGCGCAGUAGUUUGCACACUCGCACCGGGAGCGCGGCGCGGCCACAGCCGUAAAACAAACCAAACCCUGAAAUGUUGACCUCGGAUCAGGUAGGAAUACCCGCUGAACUUAAGCAUAUCAAUAAGCGGAGGAU
RNAcentral lists this unclassified non-coding RNA (383 nucleotides) under uncultured Trichoderma. Its description in RNAcentral is "sequence contains ITS2". The stretch from base 1 to 154 matches the Rfam family "5.8S ribosomal RNA". The record is from RNAcentral. Lineage: Eukaryota; Fungi; Ascomycota; Sordariomycetes; Hypocreales; Hypocreaceae.